Molecule: long non-coding RNA, 2013 nt
Filed under: Drosophila guanche
Lineage: Eukaryota; Metazoa; Arthropoda; Insecta; Diptera; Drosophilidae
Source: RNAcentral
GAGCGCUCAAGUUUAUCUCAAGAGAUUAUCUCAAGCGCUGUUGCCGUUUCACUUAUGGCGUCCUCCACGGAUUUCUCUUGCGUUGUAGUUGUGAGUCUGUAGGAAGAGAGAAAAGAAAAGAAGAGAGCUGCCAGCAAGAAGUUGCUGCGCAUCACGGAUCAGUGUUAUUUUCUGCAGCAUCAAAUAAAGACGCGUUUCUGGCCUCAGUAUCGGUAGUGGCACUUGCAUUAAAUAAUUAAAUGCAGAAUCGAAUUUAAAAUCAUUGAUCCGUGUUCUCAUUCAUAUUCCUGUUCAUAAUCCAGUGUCGGGCGUUGCUGGUGCUGGCGUCCUGAUCUUGGACAGCCUCAGUGUCGCCCUGGGGUACAGCUUGUUCAUUAGAAACUAUACUCGGGGAAUUGAGUGAUUCAUUCGAAACGGACACUUCGAUGGCCGCCGCGUUCCGUCUCGCUUCCUCACCCCCUCUCAAGUAUGUUUCUUCGGUUUCGGUCUCUGGAUGUUGUUUAUUUGUGACGUCGGCCAUAAUUGUUUGCCCUCGAAGGGCGUGGCAUGUGCGGCUGUUUGCAGUGGUGUCCAGAUCUGACGGGUAAGCUUGUGUGUGUGUGGGGAUAGUGAGGCUUGUCUGAGGGUGCGUAGAAGCAAGUGUGUGUGCAUGUGUUUCCUUAUCUGGCUCUCCCACAGUUAAAUCAAUAAUUUCCAACUGCGCUGUUUGUGCUUCAGCAAUAAAUGUAUUUAUUGCUGUUGCUGCUGUUGCUGUAGUUGUUGUUGUUGACUGCUGCUGUUGUAUAGCAUUCACCCCCAUACUUGCGCGUUCUCUUGCUCUGACCAGUAUAUCAGUGACAAAAUAUGUUGGUGGGUCUCUCGAUAAUACUUCCUGAGGGGGGGGUGAGGGCUCUUCAUACCCUUCAUAGCCCAUGGCUCGCAUUGCUCUUCUGUUUGACGCAUCAGCUCUGUCUCUCCAAAUCUGUUCGGAUUCCGUAUAUGGCCGUUGGUAGGGUACAAUUUCCCUUCGUUUCCAUUCCUGUCUCUCGAUUUCCCUGCAUAAGUGCGUGUUGAGGUAUUCAGAGUAUCGAGGUCUUGUUAAUCUCCGGGGGACAUAAGGGUCAAUUAUCACCUCUGCAGCUUCAUGAUUUGGGUGCGUUCUCAUACGGUCAACAUACCUCCUACAAGCUUUAACAUAAACCUCAUCCACCGUCUCAACGCCUAGGUCCCGGUGGAUGGUGUCGUUACGAACAUACCAUGGGGCGUUGGUAAUUGUCCGUAGCGUUUUGUUUUGUUCUGUUUGUAUGCGUCCAAACUCGAGAUUAGAGGCAAGGGGUCCCCAAACAGGCAGUGUAUACUGCCAGAUAGGUGCAAUAAUUUGCUUAUAUAGAGUAACCCUUGCAUUUAGGCAUAGCUUGCUAUUGCUGUUCAGCAGCCAGUGGAGUUUUUUAACUCUAGCUUUGAUUUUAGUCAGAGUUGCCGUGAUGUGGUGAUGGCAUAGCAGCUUAGUAUCAAGACGCACUCCGAGAUAGGGGUGAAAUGUGACAGUUUGUAGGCUUUUUCCAGCAAUAUUGGGAAUGAAUAUACCCUCAGGCUCCAGGGUAUUUCGGAGUGUAUGGAAGACGUGCACAGUUUUAGAGGCAUUGAUAGUGAUGCCCCAUUUUAUGGCCCAGACAGAUAUUCUGCUUAGGAACCGGUUCAAGCUGGAGAUGGCUACGCGCUGGGUACAGCCCCUGGCUAAAAUGGCUGUGUCAUCUGCAUAGGUUGCCAGCAACAUAUUUGGGUCACAUGGGGUGGGCAUAUCAGCCGUAUAUAAAUUGUACAGGACAGGCCCCAGUACACUACCUUGGGGGACACCAGCCAAGACAACCUUUUCUCCAGAUUUGACUCCUCCUGUGCAUUCUACCGUAAAGGUGCGUCCGUCCAAAUAACUGCUGAGGCAUCUGUAUAGUGCCGUCGGAAGCAGCUGUCUCAUUUUGAAUUUCAGUCCAGUAUGCCAGACCCUGUCGAAAGCCUCUUGAAUGUCCAUAUAAA